CCCUAUGGGGCGCAGCAGAUAUUCUACACUGAUCCCAGUGUUCUGACCAUCUUCAUGCAUGAAUCCGGAUUGUACCUCUUUCCAGGCACGGGAUUCAUAGAGGAGAUAGGAGAGGGUGAGGGAAAAGGAUACAGCGUGAACAUCCCCAUGCCCAUGUACUCAGGAGACGAGCAAUACCUCCGGGCCAUCGAUCAGAUCGUUCCAGCCCUCUUUGAAUGGUUCCGGCCCCAGGCAGUGGUAGCCCAGCUGGGGAUAGACACCCACUAUUCCGAUCCCCUCACCAGCCUUAACGUGACACUUAACGGCUAUACCGGCCUCGUCCGCAGGAUAGUGGAUCUGGCCCGCCGGCACUCAGGGUCCCGGCUGCUGGCCCUGGGCGGGGGGGC
RNAcentral lists this ribosomal RNA (386 nucleotides) under uncultured prokaryote. Its description in RNAcentral is "partial 16S ribosomal RNA". The record is from RNAcentral.